UGCCUUGCCUCCCAGCCCGGCUGAAAAGCUUGAGGAAUCCCUCCAGUGUGGUAUGUUCAUGCCACACAAACAUACACAUAGCUCGGUCUAGCUCAUUUUCCAGUUCAUGCAGAAGUGUAGCUAGUUUGCAAUGGAUCAAUGGUUGGAGCAAGGCUCAGAGGGGUGUGGAUGACCGGAACAGGUGCAGGCAACUCGGAUCAUACUACUACACUACUACAGGCCACAGGGAGGCUAUAUGAGCAUGGAAGGCUUUUGGGCAUUGGCAGUGAACUACGGAGCUUCUGAAACAGACAAGUGUUUCCCUUCUUCGACCUCGCACUUGUUUGCCGGUGGUCGAAGCAUCUCCCUGGCUAUCUCCCGCCGUGGCCAUGUAUCACAGGAUCAUGCGUCUGACAUAGCAUCAUGGGAUAGAGUCUGCUAUCAAGGAUUGCGCCGAAAAGGGGAAAAGAAAAGAAAAGGAAAGGAAAAAGAGGUGCCAAGUAUCAUAAUAGAUUUUGGGAGAUCUUAGGUGCGCUACACAAGUUGGAGUACACAAAAGGCGAUUGGUACGGUUCAUCAGCCUGUAAACCUUUUGCAAGCUAUCUUGCCCACAUAAAUCCCAUCGUCUUGACGGUUACUUUGUACUCCAUUCGUUCCAAAUUAUAGAUCGUUUUAACUUUUCUAUUAUUAUGCAUCUAGGCAUAGAGUAUAUCUAAAUGUAUAAUGUUGACGUCAGAUUUCGUCACUAGUAAAAUCGGCGCCAAGAAGAGAGGGAAUCGGAGAAGCACAGUUGGGAAUCGGUCAAAUGGUGCUACAGUGCGAGAUCGGCCGAUGACUUUUGUCUCGCCUCGGGUCGAACGUGCCGGAGUCCCAAUCGGUUGCCUUUUGCCGAUAAGGAAUCGGCCGAUUUGGAGGUUGAUUUAAUUGGGCCUGUAUGGGCUUGGAAAGGAAUAAAAGGAUGAGGUGGAGAUCAGCCCAUGAAACGUAGAGUAACCAACCUAGCACGAAUUGUGCUUGUAAAUAUUCGUUUUCUGUUUGAAUUAGGGAUAGAGUUCUAGUCGGUUAAGAAGUCAUCUGUACGGGGCUAUAAAUAGCUACCUUUGUAAAUCUGUAAUCAUCAACCAAUCAAUACAACAUACUACUUUUUCCUC
Molecule: long non-coding RNA, 1130 nt
Filed under: Setaria viridis
Lineage: Eukaryota; Viridiplantae; Streptophyta; Magnoliopsida; Poales; Poaceae
Description: long non-coding RNA (SVIR_LNC003856)
Source: RNAcentral